GAGCUACAUUCUUUCAUAGAAGUUCAUCUUUUCCUGAUCUUUGUUUGUCCCCCAAAAAAAGGGGUGAGAGGACAUUGCAGAUGUUCGGGACGGACACGACUUCUUCUAAUGCUAGAAGACCACAGGAAGAAACCCGAGACCAGAGCAUGUCGUGAAAGACGCACACGGGGCGGGCGUGCUUCGACCGUGUCUCCGACUGAGAACUCUCGAAUAGAAUAUGAGAAGGGAAAGAUCCUUUACAUAAGGAACUAUUGA
This 255-nucleotide ribosomal RNA is filed under the name Triticum aestivum (bread wheat). RNAcentral describes it as "partial small subunit ribosomal RNA". Lineage: Eukaryota; Viridiplantae; Streptophyta; Magnoliopsida; Poales; Poaceae. The record is from RNAcentral.